This 465-nucleotide long non-coding RNA is filed under the name Hordeum vulgare. Its description in RNAcentral is "long non-coding RNA (HVUL_LNC005639)". The record is from RNAcentral. Lineage: Eukaryota; Viridiplantae; Streptophyta; Magnoliopsida; Poales; Poaceae.
CGUACGGGGGUAUGGGCCAGGCCAAUAGAAGCGACAGUUGUGAAGACAAAACAGUUGUGGUGAUCUGCAGUAGGAACGAUCGGUUCUUGCUCAGCCUGUUCUGAACUACAGAUGGACGGAACGCGACACGACACAACAGUGCAGCACGCGAGGCAGGCUGCAGAAUUCAACCGCUGCCACAGUGUAUACCUGACGGGUCUCCUACUGCUGGUUGCAAGCAAGCACGUACGGCAACCGACCAUGGCAGGCGAUACGACACGUACGUACAUACACAGGUUCGCCUGCCUGCCCGCAGCAACACGAAACCGGCAACCAUGGCGCUGUCGUAUACGUACUGCAUGGGUGCUAGAGCCAGCCAGGCUAGCUGAGCUGCUGCACCGGCGAGAGGCGCGGCCGCUUGUAUCCGUCCGCGGCGGCGGCGGCGGCGAGGAGCUCCUCCCGGUUGAGCAGCACGGUGCGGAGCGC